Molecule: ribosomal RNA, 492 nt
Filed under: uncultured bacterium
Lineage: Bacteria
Description: partial 16S ribosomal RNA
Rfam family: Bacterial small subunit ribosomal RNA
Source: RNAcentral
AGUGAACGCUGGCGGUAGGCCUAACACAUGCAAGUCGAACGGCAGCACAGUAAGAGCUUGCUCUUAUGGGUGGCGAGUGGCGGACGGGUGAGGAGUACAUCGGAAUCUACUUUUUCGUGGGGGAUAACGUAGGGAAACUUACGCUAAUACCGCAUACGACCUACGGGUGAAAGCAGGGGAUCUUCGGACCUUGCGCGAUUGAAUGAGCCGAUGUCGGAUUAGCUAGUUGGCGGGGUAAAGGCCCACCAAGGCGACGAUCCGUAGCUGGUCUGAGAGGAUGAUCAGCCACACUGGAACUGAGACACGGUCCAGACUCCUACGGGAGGCAGCAGUGGGGAAUAUUGGACAAUGGGCGCAAGCCUGAUCCAGCCAUACCGCGUGGGUGAAGAAGGCCUUCGGGUUGUAAAGCCCUUUUGUUGGGAGAGAAAAGCAGCAGGUUAAUACCCCGCUGUUCUGACGGUACCCAAAGAAUAAGCACCGGCUAACUUCGUG